This 495-nucleotide ribosomal RNA is filed under the name uncultured bacterium. RNAcentral describes it as "partial 16S ribosomal RNA". It matches the Rfam family "Bacterial small subunit ribosomal RNA", at positions 29 to 506 of the family's 1533-position model. The record is from RNAcentral.
AUGAACGCUGGCGGCGUGCCUAAUCCAUGCAAGUCGAGCGAACAGACGAGGAGCUUGCUCCUCUGACGUUAGCGGCGGACGGGUGAGUAACACGUGGAUAACCUACCUAUAAGACUGGGAUAACUUCGGGAAACCGGAGCUAAUACCGGAUAAUAUAUUGAACCGCAUGGUUCAAUAGUGAAAGACGGUUUUGCUGUCACUUAUAGAUGGAUCCGCGCCGCAUUAGCUAGUUGGUAAGGUAACGGCUUACCAAGGCAACGAUGCGUAGCCGACCUGAGAGGGUGAUCGGCCACACUGGAACUGAGACACGGUCCAGACUCCUACGGGAGGCAGCAGUAGGGAAUCUUCCGCAAUGGGCGAAAGCCUGACGGAGCAACGCAGCGUGAGUGAUGAAGGUCUUCGGAUCGUAAAACUCUGUUAUUAGGGAAGAACAAAUGUGUAAGUAACGAUGCACGUCUUGACGGUACCUAAUCAGAAAGCCACGGCUAACUACGU